CCAAUAGCGUAUAUUAAAGUUGUUGCAGUUAAAAAGCUCGUAGGUGAAUUUCGGGGUCAGUAGGUUGGUCAUGCCACUGGUAUGUACUGGUCUCACUGAUUCCUCCUUCCUGAUGAGCCGUAAUGCCAUUAAUUUGGUGUUGCGGGGAAUCUGGACUGUUACUUUGAAAAAAUGAGAGGGUUUAAAGCAGGCUAACGACUGAAUACAGUAGCAUGGAAUAAUGAAAGAGGACGUUCGAUCCUAUUUUGUUGGUUUCUAGGAUUGACGUAAUGAUUAAUAGGGAUAGUUGGGGGCAUUAGUAUUCAAUUGUCAGAGGUGAAAUUCUUGGAUUUAUUUAAGACUAACUACUGCGAAAGCAUUUGCCAAGGAUGUUUUCAUUAAUCAAGAACGAAAGUUAGGGGAUCGAAGACGAUCAGAUACCGUCGUAGUCUUAACCAUAAACUAUGCCGACUAGGGAUCGGAUGAUGUUAAUUUUUUAAUGACUCAUUCGGCGCCUUACG
RNAcentral lists this ribosomal RNA (500 nucleotides) under uncultured Glomeromycotina. RNAcentral describes it as "partial small subunit ribosomal RNA". It matches the Rfam family "Eukaryotic small subunit ribosomal RNA", at positions 591 to 1092 of the family's 1831-position model. Lineage: Eukaryota; Fungi; Glomeromycota. The record is from RNAcentral.